RNAcentral lists this ribosomal RNA (442 nucleotides) under Heterogamus sp. BCLDQ00662. RNAcentral describes it as "LSU rRNA". Lineage: Eukaryota; Metazoa; Arthropoda; Insecta; Hymenoptera; Braconidae. The record is from RNAcentral.
CCUGAGAAACCCAAAAGAUCGAAUGGGGAGAUUCAUCGUCAGCUCAUUUUGUAUAUGUAUAAGUUACGAUGCGGGUUACUACUUGUAGUAUUGCCUGCACGUUCUUAUAUAUUUAGUUGCAAGAUGUUGUCGGCGUGCACUUCUCCCCUAGUAGGACGUCGCGACCCGUUGGGUGUCGGUUUACGGCCCAAGUGAUAGCCUUUAAUGUAAUUUAAAAAACAUUGAAGAUCCUUGGUGUUUUCUAACCGGCUAUUUGGCGGUACUCGUACGGUAUUUAGCCGCAUAUUUAUAUGCGUCCAUGCCCGUCGCAAGCGAGGCCAAUUACUGAUAGUACGGACCUAGUGCCGUCGUUGGUAUUGGCCAGCUGUUGGUUGUACGGUGUUCUAGGACUGGCUAAAAUUAAUUUCCCGGUCGGCGAUGCUACUGCUUUGGGUACUUUCAG